GGACCACCCGAUCAGGGUUAAGGCCAUACGGACAGCCGGGUCCACUGCCGA
Ruminococcus sp. CAG:60 is the source of this 51-nucleotide non-coding RNA. Lineage: Bacteria; Bacillati; Bacillota; Clostridia; Eubacteriales; Oscillospiraceae. The record is from Rfam.